This 448-nucleotide ribosomal RNA is filed under the name uncultured bacterium. Its description in RNAcentral is "partial 16S ribosomal RNA". It matches the Rfam family "Bacterial small subunit ribosomal RNA", at positions 330 to 794 of the family's 1533-position model. The record is from RNAcentral.
GCCAGACUCCUACGGGAGGCAGCAGUGGGGAAUAUUGCACAAUGGGGGAAACCCUGAUGCAGCGACGCCGCGUGAGCGAAGAAGUAUUUCGGUAUGUAAAGCUCUCUCAGCAGGGAAGAAGGAGGACGGUACCUGACUAAGAAGCCCCGGCUAACUAUGUGCCAGCAGCCGCGGUAAUACGUAGGGGGCAAGCGUUAUCCGGAUUUACUGGGUGUAAAGGGGGCGCAGACGGCAGCGCAAGCCAGGAGUGAAAGCCCGGGGCCCAACCCCGGGACUGCUCUUGGAACUGCGCGGCUGGAGUGCAGGAGGGGCAGGCGGAAUUCCUGGUGUAGCGGUGAAAUGCGUAGAUAUCAGGAGGAACACCGGUGGCGAAGGCGGCCUGCUGGACUGCGACUGACGUUGAGGCCCGAAAGCGUGGGGAGCAAACAGGAUUAGAUACCCGUGUAAU